This is a long non-coding RNA of Oreochromis aureus, 465 nucleotides long. The record is from Ensembl. Lineage: Eukaryota; Metazoa; Chordata; Actinopteri; Cichliformes; Cichlidae.
AGUGAGAGUUUAGAAGCACCAUGGAUGACGAAUUUGAAGGUACCAGCUCUCAGAUGGUGAUCUUUUCCAAAAACGAUAGGACAGGUGUGGAGGAGAAAGAAGCAAGAGAAUGGGUUCCUAAGUCUGUGAGCUCAUCUGAAGAUGAUGGGACAGAUGACUGGAAACCCACACAGGAUGAAUCUGAAGGCUAUUCAGAAGAGGAGGAAGAACAAGAACGUAAAAGGAUUCCUAAGGUAGCCAUGAAAAAGAAAACUGGGUGUCCUGUGCCACAAAGAGAGAUGGCGGCAGCAUCUGAAGAGGAUGGGACACAUGAUAGCAGACCCACACAGGAUGAAUCUAAAGAUGAUUCAAAAGAUGAAGCAGAACAUUUGGGACAAAUGAUUCACAAAGUGGCCAUGGAAAAGAGGGCGUUUGUGAGCAGUGAGUUGCCGCAGAGGACAGAGGAACAGGAACAGGUUGCUGUCG